RNAcentral lists this ribosomal RNA (368 nucleotides) under uncultured organism. RNAcentral's name for it is "bacterial SSU rRNA". It matches the Rfam family "Bacterial small subunit ribosomal RNA", at positions 526 to 896 of the family's 1533-position model. The record is from RNAcentral.
CGUAGGUGGCAAGCGUUGUCCGGAUUUAUUGGGUUUAAAGGGUGCGUAGGCGGCCCUGUAAGUCAGUGGUGAAAUACUCCAGCUUAACUGGAGGGGUGCCAUUGAUACUGCAGGGCUUGAGUACAGAUGAAGUAGGCGGAAUUGACGGUGUAGCGGUGAAAUGCAUAGAUAUCGUCAAGAACUCCGAUAGCGAAGGCAGCUUACUAAGCUGUAACUGACGCUGAGGCACGAAAGUGUGGGGAUCAAACAGGAUUAGAUACCCUGGUAGUCCACACUGUAAACGUUGAUGACUCGAUGUUGGCGAUACACAGCCAGCGUCCAAGAGCAAUCGUUAAGUCAUCCACCUGGGGAGUACGCCGGCAACGGUG